ACGCUCGACACCUACAGGAGGCAGCAGUGGGGAAUAUUGCACAAUGGGGGAAACCCUGAUGCAGCGACGCCGCGUGAGCGAAGAAGUAUUUCGGUAUGUAAUGCUCUAUCAGCAGGGAAGAAACUGACGGUACCUGACUAAGAAGCACCGGCUAAAUACGUACCAGCAGCCGCGGUAAUCUGAGCGGGCUGGCAAGGC
Molecule: ribosomal RNA, 198 nt
Filed under: uncultured bacterium
Lineage: Bacteria
Description: partial 16S ribosomal RNA
Rfam family: Bacterial small subunit ribosomal RNA
Source: RNAcentral